Molecule: transfer RNA, 72 nt
Filed under: Patescibacteria group bacterium
Lineage: Bacteria
Description: tRNA-Arg
Source: RNAcentral
GCCUUUACUGAUGGAUUCAGCGCCGUGUCUACGAAACAUGGUUGGAAAGUUCGAUUCUUUCUAGAGGCGCCA